UACGUAGGGUCCGAGCGUUGUCCGGAAUUAUUGGGCGUAAAGAGCUCGUAGGCGGUUUGUCACGUCUGCUGUGAAAUCCCGAGGCUCAACCUCGGGCCUGCAGUGGGUACGGGCAGACUGGAGUGCGGUAGGGGAGAUUGGAAUUCCUGGAGUAGCGGUGGAAUGCGCAGAUAUCAGGAGGAACACCGAUGGCGAAGGCAGAUCUCUGGGCCGUAACUGACGCUGAGGAGCGAAAGCGUGGGGAGCGAACAGG
This 253-nucleotide ribosomal RNA is filed under the name uncultured bacterium. RNAcentral's name for it is "partial 16S ribosomal RNA". It matches the Rfam family "Bacterial small subunit ribosomal RNA", at positions 524 to 776 of the family's 1533-position model. The record is from RNAcentral.